RNAcentral lists this ribosomal RNA (425 nucleotides) under uncultured bacterium. RNAcentral's name for it is "partial 16S ribosomal RNA". It matches the Rfam family "Bacterial small subunit ribosomal RNA", at positions 354 to 796 of the family's 1533-position model. The record is from RNAcentral.
GUAGGGAAUCUUGCGCAAUGGGCGAAAGCCUGACGCAGCCAUGCCGCGUGAAUGAUGAAGGUCUUAGGAUUGUAAAAUUCUUUCACCGGGGACGAUAAUGACGGUACCCGGAGAAGAAGCCCCGGCUAACUUCGUGCCAGCAGCCGCGGUAAUACGAAGGGGGCGAGCGUUAUUCGGAAUCACUGGGCGUAAAGCGUGCGUAGGCGGUUUUGUAAGUUAGGAGUGAAAGCCCAGGGCUCAACCUUGGAAUUGCUCUUAAAACUGCAAGGCUCGAAUCUCGGAGAGGAUAGCGGAAUUUCCAGUGUAGCAGUGAAAUGCGUAGAUAUUGGAAGGAACACCAGUGGCGUAAGCGGCUAUCUGGACGAGUAUUGACGCUGAGGCACGAAAGCGUGGGGAUCAAACAGGAUUAGAUACCCCGGUAGUCC